RNAcentral lists this unclassified non-coding RNA (375 nucleotides) under plant metagenome. RNAcentral describes it as "partial contains small subunit ribosomal RNA, internal transcribed spacer 1, and 5.8S ribosomal RNA". The record is from RNAcentral.
GUAUCCGUAGGUGAACCUGCGGAUGGAUCAUUAACACAAAACAAAUCCCUAAAUAAGAGGGAAACCUCUUGUUUAUGACACCCCCUUUCUUAGCGAACUUGUCAACGGCGAGAGGGUUGCUGGAUUCCUAUUGGUUGGAAUCACUCUUAAGGCAAUCCCCAUGUCCGUUCGUUUUUUUCUUCUUCUUUUCACCAAUAUACCAAAAUCCCAAUCUCAACACCUAACAACUUGACUGAAAACAAAGAUUUUGUUGUGCUUUCUUUUUUCUUAUUCCAAAAAGGGUUAGAAACUCCAAAAGGAAAAAAAAAAGGCAAACACAAACAAAACCAAACUUUAACUAAUGUACAACUUUUAACAACGGAUAUCUUGGCUCUC